Molecule: transfer RNA, 67 nt
Filed under: Equus caballus (horse)
Lineage: Eukaryota; Metazoa; Chordata; Mammalia; Perissodactyla; Equidae
Description: transfer RNA-Pro
Source: RNAcentral
CAAGGAAUAUUUUAAGUAGAAUUUCAGCUUUGGGUGUUGAUGGUGGAGCUAGAGCUUCUUCCUUGAU